ACACACACACACACACACACACACACACACACACACACACACACACACACACACACACACACACACACACACACACACACACACACACACACACAGCUUGGACCCCUCUCUCUGUGCUUGGUCAAUUGGAGUAGGGGAACCCUCCCACAACGCUCUGACAACCUCGGGACAACGUUGUGGCAACAUUCACUGUUAGUUAGCAAAGGAUUCUAACCAAGGAUGUAGUGGUAAAUAAAAUAGUGGGUAAACAAACCGCUGAAGCCCGGUGGGGCGGCGAGUAACAUAAACAUUAGCUAAUGCUAAGAAUGACACUUGAGCAUAGUAGAUGUGUUAACACUGUUCACCAAGUAAAGGGGUGUUUAAACAAAGUAAAGGGGUGUUUAAACAAAGUAAAGGGGUGUUUAAACAAAGUAAAGGGGUGUUUAAACAAAGUAAAGGGGUGUUUAAACAAAGUAAAGGGGAGUUUAAACAAAGUAAAGGAGUGUUUAAACAACAAUUAACACUGUUCACCAAGUAAAGGGGUGUUUAAACAAAGUAAAGGGGUGUUUAAACAAAGUAAAGGGGUGUUUAAACAAAGUAAAGGGGUGUUUAAACAACAAUUAACACUGUUCACCAAGUAAAGGGGAGUUUAAACAAAGUAAAGGAGUGUUUAAACAACAAUUAACACUGUUCACCAACUAAAGGGGUGUUUAAACAACAGUUUACGAGCGUUUACCCUCCUACAUCCCUGGGUCGUAUUCAUCAAGCAGCAAAUGAAGAAAACUAACGGAAACGGGGAGAGGGACUAUCUGGCCUUGUCCUGUAAGAAAUGCUCAUUUCCGUUUUCCAUUGCAAAACAUUUUCCAACAUUGUCCAUUGCGUGUCUUAAUGAAUAGGACCCUGGUGCUGUAUGCACAGGAAUAGUGGCUAGUUGUCUGGUCUGCUCCUUUAUGCUGUACAAAAGUGAUUAGUUCUAUGGAUAGUGAUAUUGAUCAUCAAUAAUAUGUCAAUGUUCCAGGCUGGAUGGUAAAUGAUAAUAUUGAUAAUACUCCAACGGGAGCAUAUGUAUUUAGCAUUUUCAAAAGUUUAUAUGUAAAUAUCAUUGUCUGUCAUUGUCACUCUAACCACGAUCACUGUUUCUAUAUCACGUCGGUCUGUGGCGCUGUGCUCUCAACACACACACACACACACACAUGCAAACACACACACACACACACACAAGCACGUGUUCACACGCUCGAACACAGACAUACACACACAAACAUACAUAUCACCUGCGCUUCAUUGACUAAAUAUACAUCAAUCAUAUCAGUCAACAUAUCAUUGUCCUCAUCAGACAAGAUGGUUUCAGUACGUUAUUGAUAAGUCAUCAAUCCGUUUCAGGUUGGUUAGAGUUUGGUCCGUUGUGUAAAAGCAAAAUCGUGUAUCCAUCCAAUCUCCUGCAUGCUCUUUCUUUCUCUUAUUCCAUUGGUUGUCUGUCUGGGGGUGGGCGGUUCUUUGUAACUGUGAGGGUGGGACUUACGAUGCUGAAAGUGACUCUUCAAGUAGAAGUUGUCCAUCGGUAAGUGUGGGGACAGGAGUUUGGUUGGGGGCUGUGGGUAGGUGUGGGGACAGGAGUUGUGCUUUCUAUCUAAGAUUGUAACAAUAACCAACACAACAGUACAAUACCAUGCUAAUAAUACAACCAGGCUAAUAUCUUCUAAUAUACUAUAGAACAACUGCAUGGGAGUCAAACUAUACUAGUGUGUGUGUGUGUGUGUGUGUGUGUGUGUGUGUGUGUGUGUGUGUGUGAGGGGUGUUCUCUGAGAGGAAUAUACUGUGGGCAGGUGUGUAUUUUACCUGUUCCAGCAGUUCUGACGCUCUUCCAUAGUCAGGUAGUCACACCUGUAGACGUGUGUGUGUGUGUGUGUGUGUGUGUGUGUGUGUGUGUGUGUGUGUGUGUGUGUAGAUCUCACCUGUUCACUGCUGAAUGUGGGGCUAGUCUGCUUUUUCACACAGUCUGUCUCUCUGUUUGUAUUAGGACUGACUGACACACACAUCACAGUGUGUGUGUGUAUGUGUGUGUGUGUGUGUGUGCCAAGCCGUAUUCACGGUUACCCAUCCUGUUUUUAUACAUGUACAUUUUUUAAGGCUGAGUUUCUGUCAUUGACUGCUGGGCGCCGGGAGACGGACCUCCUCGCAACAGCCCUGCCACUCUGUUCCAAAUAAAAGACCUCAUUGGUUAA
This is a non-coding RNA of Salmo salar (Atlantic salmon), 2204 nucleotides long. The record is from RefSeq and is a predicted model, not a curated record. Lineage: Eukaryota; Metazoa; Chordata; Actinopteri; Salmoniformes; Salmonidae.